This 87-nucleotide transfer RNA is filed under the name Alphaproteobacteria bacterium PA2. It matches the Rfam family "tRNA". Rfam says of the family: Transfer RNA (tRNA) molecules are approximately 80 nucleotides in length. The record is from Rfam by way of RNAcentral. Lineage: Bacteria; Pseudomonadati; Pseudomonadota; Alphaproteobacteria.
GGAGAGGUGGCGGAGUGGUCGAUCGCGCACGCUUGGAAAGCGUGUUUACGGGAAACCGUAACGAGGGUUCGAAUCCCUCUCUCUCCG